ACGCUGGCGGCAGGCUUAACACAUGCAAGUCGAACGGUAACAGGAGGAAGCUUGCUUUCUUGCUGACGAGUGGCGGACGGGUGAGUAAUGCUUGGGAAUCUGGCUUAUGGAGGGGGAUAACUACGGGAAACUGUAGCUAAUACCGCGUAGUGUCGAGAGACGAAAGUGCGGGACCGCAAGGCCGCAUGCCAUGAGAUGAGCCCAAGUGGGAUUAGGUAGUUGGUGGGGUAAAGGCCUACCAAGCCUGCGAUCUCUAGCUGGUCUGAGAGGAUGGCCAGCCACACUGGAACUGAGACACGGUCCAGACUCCUACGGGAGGCAGCAGUGGGGAAUAUUGCGCAAUGGGGGGAACCCUGACGCAGCCAUGCCGCGUGAAUGAAGAAGGCCUUCGGGUUGUAAAGUUCUUUCGGUAUUGAGGAAGGAGUGUAUGUUAAUAGCAUACAUUAUUGACGUUAAAUACAGAAGAAGCACCGGCUAACUCCGUGCCAGCAGCCGCGGUAAUACGGAGGGUGCGAGCGUUAAUCGGAAUAACUGGGCGUAAAGGGCACGCAGGCGGUUAUUUAAGUGAGGUGUGAAAGCCCCGGGCUUAACCUGGGAAUUGCAUUUCAGACUGGGUAACUAGAGUACUUUAGGGAGGGGUAGAAUUCCACGUGUAGCGGUGAAAUGCGUAGAGAUGUGGAGGAAUACCGAAGGCGAAGGCAGCCCCUUGGGAAUGUACUGACGCUCAUGUGCGAAAGCGUGGGGAGCAAACAGGAUUAGAUACCCUGGUAGUCCACGCUGUAAACGCUGUCGAUUUGGGGAUUGGGCUUAAAGCUUGGUGCCCGUAGCUAACGUGAUAAAUCGACCGCCUGGGGAGUACGGCCGCAAGGUUAAAACUCAAAUGAAUUGACGGGGGCCCGCACAAGCGGUGGAGCAUGUGGUUUAAUUCGAUGC
RNAcentral lists this ribosomal RNA (933 nucleotides) under uncultured bacterium. Its description in RNAcentral is "bacterial SSU rRNA". It matches the Rfam family "Bacterial small subunit ribosomal RNA", at positions 33 to 957 of the family's 1533-position model. The record is from RNAcentral.